CGGGCCGUAGCGCAGUUUGGCUAGCGCGCUUGGUUCGGGUCCAAGAAGUCGGGGGUUCAAAUCCCCCAGGCCCGA
This 75-nucleotide transfer RNA is filed under the name Thermospira aquatica. Its description in RNAcentral is "Spirochaetales bacterium F1F22 tRNA-Pro". It matches the Rfam family "tRNA". From Rfam's summary of the family: Transfer RNA (tRNA) molecules are approximately 80 nucleotides in length. Their secondary structure includes four short double-helical elements and three loops (D, anti-codon, and T loops). The record is from RNAcentral. Lineage: Bacteria; Pseudomonadati; Spirochaetota; Spirochaetia; Brevinematales; Thermospiraceae.